GCCAGGUUAGCUCAAUGGCAUAGCAGCCGUUUUGUAAGCGGCAGGUUGUGGGUUCAACUCCCCCACCUGGCUCCA
Molecule: transfer RNA, 75 nt
Filed under: Caudoviricetes sp.
Lineage: Duplodnaviria; Heunggongvirae; Uroviricota; Caudoviricetes
Description: tRNA-Thr
Rfam family: tRNA
About the family: Transfer RNA (tRNA) molecules are approximately 80 nucleotides in length. Their secondary structure includes four short double-helical elements and three loops (D, anti-codon, and T loops).
Source: RNAcentral